Molecule: unclassified non-coding RNA, 353 nt
Filed under: soil metagenome
Description: partial contains 5.8S ribosomal RNA, internal transcribed spacer 2, and large subunit ribosomal RNA
Rfam family: 5.8S ribosomal RNA (bases 1-120)
Source: RNAcentral
GAUGAAGAACGUAGCGAAAUGCGAUAAGUAAUGUGAAUUGCAGAAUUCAGUGAAUCAUCGAAUCUUUGAACGCACAUUGCGCCCGCCAGUAUUCUGGCGGGCAUGCCUGUUCGAGCGUCAUUACAACCCUCAGGCCCCCGGGCCUGGCGUUGGGGAUCGGCGGAAGCCCCCUGCGGGCACAACGCCGUCCCCCAAAUACAGUGGCGGUCCCGCCGCAGCUUCCUUUGCGUAGUAGCUAACACCUCGCAACUGGAGAGCGGCGCGGCCACGCCGUAAAACACCCAACUUCUGAAUGUUGACCUCGAAUCAGGUAGGAAUACCCGCUGAACUUAAGCAUAUCAAUAAGCGGAGGA